Molecule: ribosomal RNA, 491 nt
Filed under: uncultured bacterium
Lineage: Bacteria
Description: partial 16S ribosomal RNA
Rfam family: Bacterial small subunit ribosomal RNA
Source: RNAcentral
AGUGAACGCUGGCGGUAGGCCUAACACAUGCAAGUCGAACGGCAGCACAGUAAGAGCUUGCUCUUACGGGUGGCGAGUGGCGGACGGGUGAGGAAUACAUCGGAAUCUACUUUUUCGUGGAGGAUAACGUAGGGAAACUUACGCUAAUACCGCAUACGACCUACGGGUGAAAGCAGGGGAUCUUCGGACCUUGCGCGAUUGAAUGAGCCGAUGUCGGAUUAGCUAGUUGGCGGGGUAAAGGCCCACCAAGGCGACGAUCCGUAGCUGGUCUGAGAGGAUGAUCAGCCACACUGGAACUGAGACACGGUCCAGACUCCUACGGGAGGCAGCAGUGGGGAAGAUUGGACAAUGGGCGCAAGCCUGAUCCAGCCAUACCGCGUGGGUGAAGAAGGCCUUCGGGUUGUAAAGCCCUUUUGUUGGGAAAGAAAAGCAGCAGGUUAAUACCCCGCUGUUCUGACGGUACCCAAAGAAUAAGCACCGGCUAACUUCGU